RNAcentral lists this ribosomal RNA (443 nucleotides) under uncultured bacterium. Its description in RNAcentral is "partial 16S ribosomal RNA". It matches the Rfam family "Bacterial small subunit ribosomal RNA", at positions 338 to 795 of the family's 1533-position model. The record is from RNAcentral.
CCUACGGGUGGCAGCAGUAGGGAAUAUUGCUCAAUGGGGGAAACCCUGAAGCAGCAACGCCGCGUGGAGGAUGAAGGUCUUCGGAUUGUAAAGUUCUUUUCUAAGGGAAGAAGAAAGUGACGGUACCUUAGGAAUAAGCCUCGGCUAACUACGUGCCAGCAGCCGCGGUAAUACGUAGGAGGCAAGCGUUAUCCGGAAUGACUGGGCGUAAAGGGUGCGUAGGUGGUUCAGCAAGUUAGUAGCGUAACUCCGGGGCUCAACCUCGGCACUACUACUAAAACUGUUGGACUUGAGUGCAGGAGGGGCAACUGGAAUUCCUAGUGUAGCGGUGGAAUGCGUAGAUAUUAGGAGGAACACCAGUGGCGAAGGCGAGUUGCUGGACUGUAACUGACACUGAGGCACGAAAGCGUGGGGAGCAAACAGGAUUAGAUACCCGAGUAGUC